Molecule: ribosomal RNA, 253 nt
Filed under: uncultured prokaryote
Description: partial 16S ribosomal RNA
Rfam family: Bacterial small subunit ribosomal RNA
Source: RNAcentral
ACGGGGGAUGCAAGUGUUAUCCGGAAUCACUGGGCGUAAAGGGCGCGUAGGCGGCGUGCUAAGUCGAACGUGAAAUCCCCGGGCUCAACCCGGGAACUGCGUCCGAGACUGGCAUGCUUGAAUCCGGGAGAGGGAUGUGGAAUUCCAGGUGUAGCGGUGAAAUGCGUAGAUAUCUGGAGGAACAUCGGUGGCGAAGGCGGCAUCCUGGACCGGUAUUGACGCUGAGGCGCGAAAGCCAGGGGAGCAAACGGGA